Molecule: transfer RNA, 66 nt
Filed under: Anagonalia emeiensis
Lineage: Eukaryota; Metazoa; Arthropoda; Insecta; Hemiptera; Cicadellidae
Description: tRNA-Thr
Source: RNAcentral
GUUUUUAUAAUUUAAAUUAAAAUAGUAGUUUUGUAAACUACAUAUAGAAUAUAUAUCUUAAAAACA